This is a non-coding RNA of Pantherophis guttatus, 1159 nucleotides long. The record is from RefSeq and is a predicted model, not a curated record. Lineage: Eukaryota; Metazoa; Chordata; Lepidosauria; Squamata; Colubridae.
UCAUUUCUCUUUGUGGUGGUUCUGGGUGUUGAACAGAAGGAAUGGGGAAAAAAAGUGGCAAUAGACAUUUGCAGAAAGACCAGGGACUUGUAGCAAAAGCAGUGGCAGUGUCACAUUUGUGAACUGUUGUUGGUAGCAAAGGUUCUCUCUAAUAUGAAUGCCAGUAGGGUUUCAACCAGAUGUGAUUCAAUUCAGUUUAGCUCUAUGUUACAAUCAUAGUUAUUUGCAUUGUCGUGACCUGGAGGGAACUCCUCUAAAUCUUGUGAUUCAUCAUCCAUCCAUCAGAAAUUACCAAGAGGUUUUUGAGGCAAACCUCUCUCACCCCUAUGGUUUUGGCAGCAGAGGCAACACAUGGAGCUCUUGAUAUUCAGCAGUGAAACAAUGUCAUCUUUUCAUCAGAAUUGCUUUCUUUCACAAAAAGAAAUCGAGAUAUGGAAAGAGUCAGAAAUUUAUGUUUGCUAUUGGUGAUAUUUAGAAGCUGAUUCCCUCAAGAAAUGUAACAACAGCAUCACUGGGUUCACACGAUCAGAAGGCUGCUAUAUUUUGCACAGGAAAAAAGGAAGGCAGAAAGAAAGAAACAGAAACCAGGAGAAAAGAAUGAAAACACAAAGUGAAUAAACAAGAGAUUUACAAGGAUCACAUGAGAUUCUAUUGGAAUCUAUCAUUUGACUGCCAUAUUUUCAAUAUUCAUGCAUGAAUAGAGUCUUAGCAGCAACAGCCACAACAACAACAACAACAACAACAAAACAGCAAUUGCACAAACAACUGAGUCAAGAAGCUCUCUGUGCACUCCGAAGUAUCUUCCCCUUGGAAGAGGGAAAAAUGGGAGAGGAAAGAAACACUGAUAAAAAGGUAGAACGUUAUGUACAUUGGAGGGAUUCAAGAAGCCUCUGUGUUGGAGUGGGAAGGGACCAGUGACCUUUUCACAUCACUCUCUCAAUCCGUGAAAGCAGAGGAAAAAUGCCUGCAGUAGAAGAGCAAAGCGGAUGCCUUCGUCACGGGCAAAAAUGGCCUCACUUCAUCCCAUGCAGCAGAAAGAUGUUGGAAUGAUUUCAAAUACGCCUGGAUCAGGAUGGCUGCCAUCUGCUAAAAGUCCAAUAUCGCACAACAAAAGUUUGGGGUGAAGCAGAUUCUUUUUUGGGUAAUGAUGAUUUCACCA